RNAcentral lists this ribosomal RNA (253 nucleotides) under uncultured bacterium. Its description in RNAcentral is "partial 16S ribosomal RNA". It matches the Rfam family "Bacterial small subunit ribosomal RNA", at positions 524 to 776 of the family's 1533-position model. The record is from RNAcentral.
UACAGAGGUCUCAAGCGUUGUUCGGAUUCAUUGGGCGUAAAGGGUGCGCAGGUGGGUUGGCAAGUUUGAUGUGAAAGCCCCGGGCUUAACCCGGGAAUGGCAUUGAAUACUGCUGAUCUGGAGGAUUGGAGGGGGGACUGGAAUUCUUGGUGUAGCAGUGAAAUGCGUAGAUAUCAAGAGGAACACCAGUGGCGAAGGCGAGUCCCUGGACAAUACCUGACACUGAGGCACGAAAGCUAGGGGAGCAAACAGG